GGGCAGCGACAGCGAGGGCGGCAGCCGCGCGCCGUUCAGCGGCGCGUGGGCGCCGAUGCCCCGCGCCAGCACGGCGCCGGCCACCGCCCUC
Molecule: transfer RNA, 91 nt
Filed under: Burkholderia gladioli
Lineage: Bacteria; Pseudomonadati; Pseudomonadota; Betaproteobacteria; Burkholderiales; Burkholderiaceae
Description: tRNA-Sec
Source: RNAcentral